UACGUAGGCAGCAAACGUUGUUCGGAAUUAUUGGGCGUAAAGAGUGUGUAGGCGGUUGCGUGUGUCUGGUGUGAAAUCUCCUGGCUCAACUGGGAGGGUGCGCCGGAAACUGCGCGGCUUGAGUACUGGAGAGGAUGGCGGAAUUCCUGGUGUAGCGGUGAAAUGCGUAGAUAUCAGGAGGAACACCUGUGGUGUAGACGGCUAUCUGGACAGUCACUGACGCUGAGACACGAAAGCGUGGGGAGCAAACAGG
Molecule: ribosomal RNA, 253 nt
Filed under: uncultured bacterium
Lineage: Bacteria
Description: partial 16S ribosomal RNA
Rfam family: Bacterial small subunit ribosomal RNA
Source: RNAcentral